UACGUAGGGGGCUAGCGUUGUCCGGAAUCAUUGGGCGUAAAGAGCGUGUAGGCGGUCCGGUAAGUCCGCUGUGAAAGUCGGGGGCUCAACCCUCGAAUGCCGGUGGAUACUGUCGGGCUAGAGUGCGGAAGAGGCGAGUGGAAUUCCUGGUGUAGCGGUGAAAUGCGCAGAUAUCAGGAAGAACACCGGUGGCGAAGGCGGGUCUCUGGGCCGAUACUGACGCUGAGGAGCGAAAGCGUGGGGAGCGAACAGG
This 253-nucleotide ribosomal RNA is filed under the name uncultured bacterium. RNAcentral's name for it is "partial 16S ribosomal RNA". It matches the Rfam family "Bacterial small subunit ribosomal RNA", at positions 524 to 776 of the family's 1533-position model. The record is from RNAcentral.